This is a small nucleolar RNA of Dromiciops gliroides (monito del monte), 72 nucleotides long. RefSeq annotates it as small nucleolar RNA SNORD73. NCBI's taxonomy places the organism in Eukaryota, Metazoa, Chordata, Mammalia, Microbiotheria, Microbiotheriidae. The transcript has a single exon. The record is from RefSeq and is a predicted model, not a curated record.
AAUGAAUGAUGAUAAAAUGUUUUGGGCCCAAAUGAUAUGCAGUGAUUAUGCCAUUACAUUUUUUCUGACAUU